AUGAGAAGGAGCAACUUUCAAGUGUUUCAAGACAACCACUUUGAAGUCAAAGAAAAAUAUCUACAAUCAUCAAAGGAACUACAUAUCCUCUUCUCUGGGAUCUAUGGAAGAGGCGACUAUUCCAAUGGGUCAUCAACCAAGAUCUCAUCAGCCUUUAUUGUUGCCUUAGUAUUCAGAGAAGAUACGGUCCCAUCACCUCUACAUCAUCCUAGCUAUCCAUCGCUACAUUUUGCCGACCUCGAAUGUCCUAGUAUGGCGCUACUUCAAGAUCAUUGGGCUCACAACUAUUAG
Vicia faba (fava bean) is the source of this 291-nucleotide non-coding RNA. The record is from the annotation of a GenBank genome assembly. NCBI's taxonomy places the organism in Eukaryota, Viridiplantae, Streptophyta, Magnoliopsida, Fabales, Fabaceae.